GCAGGCCAAGACGCUGCUCCAGAGGUGCCACUUUUCUGAGGACAUGAACAAGGUUUGAACCCACAGCGUCAGACACUGAAGCUCUGGAGCACUCGACAGAGGCUAAGCAAGAUUGAGCCGAGAGCCUGGAGGGAACUACCACCCUGGCACCACCAAAGGCUCCACUGAGUGGCAAGUGGAGACCAGCCUUGACCUCUUGAUUUCCCUCCUUGUCCCCUCAGUGCUGGAUUACAGGUAUAUGUCAUCAUGCUUAACUGGUGCAGUGCUGAGGAUUAAGCCUAAGGCCAAACCCAGGGCCUUGGGCAUGCUAGAGAUUCUACCAACUGCGCUAUAUCCCCAACCCCACAUUGCUGUUUACUGAGACAGUCUUGCUAUGCAGCCAGCCUUGCCUCAAACUCAGGAUCCCCCUGCUUCAGUUCCCCGGGCACUGGGAUUACGGGUGUGAGCCACCACACCAGCCAGCAACAAUAGAGAUCUUAACAGUGUAAAGGACUAAAGAAUAUCCCUUUUU
Mesocricetus auratus (golden hamster) is the source of this 511-nucleotide long non-coding RNA. RefSeq lists it as uncharacterized. The record is from RefSeq and is a predicted model, not a curated record. The transcript is spliced from 3 exons. Lineage: Eukaryota; Metazoa; Chordata; Mammalia; Rodentia; Cricetidae.